CAGCGAGACUCCAUCUCAAAAAAUAAAAUAAAAUAAAACUAAAAAUAAUAUGGAAAAGUAGGUCCAUUCUGUCUUCCCAGAAGUGUAAGCCCUGUGCUGUUGUUAUUUUUACAUGUCCUAAUUUCCUACUAGGCUCUUGAGUAAAUGUAGACUCAGAGAGGUUAAAUAAUUUGUUCAAUAUUAUACUGCCAGUGAUUCAGCAAGAACUGGAUACAAGGCAUUUGUCAAAAGCUCACCCUCUUUUUCAUGACCCUAUACUGCUAAAUAAAUGUUUACUGGAAGAAUGAACCAAUGAAAGCAAGUUCCCUUCCUUAGUCACAAUAGUUCUGUGAUUUUUGUUUUAAAACUCAGGAUAUAGUGAUGUAUUUCUCGUUUUUUAUCAUGAUCAAAAAUGCUUGAAGUCUAAGAGCUUAGAAACCACUAGUCAUUGCCAUUUAGGAAAUUUCCUAGAAUCCAACUGUGUGGUUUCUGCCAAUAAUUUAGGUUUUAUGAACACUGGUUGUACAGUAUCGGGCUCUGCUCACCUCUCAACCUGUAGACUGAGACUCACGUGAAGUUAUCAGGAGAACUAAAUAAAGAAAACUGCAGGGGACUGUAAGUGAAAAUAUGAGAGACAAACUAAUCCUCAACACUCUUUAAUAUAGGGCUUUCCAGAUGAAAGCAGUAACAAAUGCUGUAAGUGUGCAAGUUCCUGCGAUGGUUGAUCUUACGUGUCAAUCUGGCCAGGCUAUGGUGCCUAGUUGUGUAGUCAAACAGUAGUCUAGAUGUUGCUGUGAAGACUCUUUAAAAUGUGAUUAACAUUUAUAAUCACUGGACUUUUAGUAAAGCUCAUAAAUGUCCAUGGUGUGGUGAGCCUCAUCUAAUCAGUUGAAGGCCAUAAGAGCAAAAUCUGAUUCCUCAAAGAAGAAGGAAUUUUGCCUGAAUUUGCAGCCUGCAGGCCUACCCUGUGGAUUUAGGACAUGCCAGUCUCCACAGUACUGUGGUGUGUGUGUUGCCAUAUAUGUAUCUGUGUGUGUGUGUGUGUGUGCACAUCUGUAUGGAGAACCCUAAUACAGCACCUUACACAGCACACAGUACCUGGUCUGUAAGAACAAGACAAUAAAUUUUAGCUGAAUCUGCAUCAGCUUUCUGUUUAUACUGCUUUAGAAGUAUCCACUCAUUAUUUGAAGAAGUGUGUGUUAGAUGCUUGCCUUAGGCAGAACAUUAUAUGUUCUCCAAAGGUAUAAAAUUGUUUUCUUUCCUUAAGUAGUUUCCAACUUUUUGUUUCCAAGGCAACAAAAAACAUUGUCUCAUUCAGUUUUCUGUUGCUAUAAUGGAAUACCAGAGACUGGGUAAUUUACAAAGAAUAGAAGUUUACUGGCUCCAGGUUCUAGAGGCUGGGAACACCAAGGGCAUGGCAGCAGCAUCUGGUGGGGUUCUGUGCUACAUUACCCCAUGGUGGAAGGGCAGAGGGCAGAGGGCAGAAGAGGAAAGGCAGAAGAGAAAGACAGCAUGGGAGACAGCAAGAAAAUGGAGGCCAAAACUUAUCCUUUUAUCAGGAAUCCACUCCCACAAGAUUGCACAGAGUUCUUGAUAUUGAAGAGUGAACCAUGUUCAAGGAAGAAGAGAUCACCCCAUAAAACCCUUCCAGCUUGUGUUACAAUCAGAUGCCUCUAAGAUGGACAAAAAAGGCACACAGAGAUAUUCCCUACUCAGGCUCUGGUCAAAUCUCUCUCCACUUAAUGGAGCAUGGCUUUCAACUGCACCUGGAGCAUGUUUGUAAACAAUGCCAUCAGGAAUAAAAGUGUUUGAAGCUGAAGCUGGGUCUUCCAUCCAAAUGUGGAAAGCGUGCCAGAGGACUGUCUUUCCCAUUCCCGCCCCACCUGCACAGCCAUAGACAAAGCUCAGCUCCGGGAUAAGGUAAAUGUCAAGAGCCACACAGCAGCAUGCCUUCCCUUCAAGACAGAACAAAGGGUGGUUUUCUUGGCCAACCUACUGCACAGGAGGAAGCCAAGCAACACCAUUGAUUUAAGCCCCAAGGAAAACCUAAAAUCUUUGGCCACUUCAGGUUGUAAAUCUGGCAUCAGAUGUCAGAAACUUGUGUGAAAACAGAGACUACUAGGUUUUACUAUGGCUUGAAAGGAAUAACCCAAAGAAAAGCCUGACCCCAAAAAAGGACUGUCCCAGGCUCAGGGCCCCACAGCGACCACAUGCCUGGGCAGGGAACUGCCGGGAAGGUAGCCCAGAAUGGUCACAUCUCACUCUGCAGCCCCCUCACCGGACAAGGACACCUCCUGUCAGGUUCCGAGUUCUAGUCAUUCUUCCUUGUCUCUGAGAGCUGUCCAUCUUUUCAUACCAUUUCUAUUGCCACCCGUGGUUCAGCCUGAGGUGCCUCGGAGGACUCACUGGCCAGGCCCCAUGGGCACUCUACACACAUGAUUGAGCAAGACCUCUAAAUGAGACCACAAAGCAGGCCCAUUUCCUUCAGGUGACUGACAUGGGAACUCAGGCUGAGAGCAACUGACCAAGCAGACACAGCUAAAAAGAUGGAGCCAGGAUUCCAGCCAGGAUCUGCCUGACUUUAAGUAAUAUGUGUUUCCCACUAAACCCAUGUCAUGGCUUUCCCCAGCUCUCGAAGCUUUGAUGGCCCCACUGCCUACUGAAUUCAGUCUUAGCUGCCAAUCCAGGGGCCAAGCCCUCCGUGCCCUGCCCUGCCCUACUCUUCAGCCUUGCCCAGCUUUUCCCCUCCAUGAACAUCCUCAAGUCCCCCCCACACUCAAGACUCCCCAGGAGUGUCCCUUUGCUCAUCUGCAAUGUCCUUACUACCAGCCCAUCUGCCCUUUCCAAGUCCUGCUCACUCAUCAAUACUUCUGUGACCCCCUGCCGUGAGAACACAUUCUCUGCUAAACCCCUGCUCUUCCAGCGCACUUUCCUCAGAGUUAUGUACAGAGAGGGUCUCCCCCUGCUAGACUGAGCCACCUCGGAGGAAGAGCCUGUGCCUGGAUUUUCACAUCUUUGUAUGUCCUUCCAUCCUUAGCAAAGGCACCUGGAAUGUAAUCAAAAUCACCAAAUAUGUGUUGGAUAGAUGAAUAGGUGGAUGGAUUAUAAAUAAAUAAAGUAUUUAUCUAGGUUGUUACCUCUCA
Molecule: long non-coding RNA, 3122 nt
Filed under: Homo sapiens (human)
Lineage: Eukaryota; Metazoa; Chordata; Mammalia; Primates; Hominidae
Description: HSALNT0380185
Source: RNAcentral